This 1886-nucleotide long non-coding RNA is filed under the name Elaeis guineensis (African oil palm). Its description in RNAcentral is "long non-coding RNA (EGUI_LNC010967)". Lineage: Eukaryota; Viridiplantae; Streptophyta; Magnoliopsida; Arecales; Arecaceae. The record is from RNAcentral.
CAUACCGUGGGCAGAUUAGCUUUCCCAACAUCUCCAUCAAGGAGCCGGUUGCUUGUGCGCCUCGCUCUCUCUCUCUCUCUCCCCUCCUCUCUCUCUCUCUCCACCCUGCCCUCCAGGUGGCGGAGGUUUGUCUUUUUCUCUCUUGCUAGGUUAAGAUGUUGCUAUGAUCUUUAUCUGAAGUUGGGGUGCUUUGUGUCUGGGUGAACCUAAGUGAUCACCGACGUAGUAGCAAUUGGGGGAUGAUAGAAUCAUUUUGGUUUGUUGGAAGGAAAGGAUUUCUAAAUUUUGGUAUCACAGCUAUCAACAAAAUAUCUAUUUAUUUCAGUUGAGGAAGGAGGGAGGAGAAAUAUAGAAUGAAGAACAUAUCAUUAUUUCAAUUGUUGCAGUAAAAACAAGAUUAUAUUUUUUGAUUUAAAAAAUCUCUAGCAUGAUAGGCAUCAAUGAGGCUAUUCUUGUCAUUGGACGUGAGAUCAUACUUAGGCCGGUAGGUGUUCAAUAUGGUGGUGUGGUUGGUUUUCCUCCAAACUAUAGGUAAGAAAAAAAUUGAGGCUAAGGAUCUAGAGAUGUAGCUAUCAGAGUGCCUCGAUCGCAAGACUGAUCUAAAAAGAAUUUUUUUAUUGAAAUUUUUUCAAUUAUGAUCAUUCGAUGCUUAAAUUAAUCGGAAUCUAUGGAACCGAAGAGAGAAAAUAGGAAGUGAGUGGUAGGAGUAGUCGAAUGAGAAGAUUUUAUUUAUUUAUUUAUUUAUAAAGGGAGAUUAGUGUUCAUUAUUGAGAUAGAUGGAGUUUGGAUCAACUAUUUAGCAACUACUUUCAUCGUGUGAUAAUUGUUUGAUCACAGAUUUUCAUAUCACAAUAUGGUUAUAACUGUUGGAUCAUACAAUCAUGAUUGCAUGGACGCAACUAUCAUCAAGAUUAUGGUGUUGACAUGAACAUGCCCUUCAAUUUGUCAUGAUAAGGUGAAUGAAGUUGGGCAUCAUCAUGGUUACAUCAUUUCGACUCAUCUUGAGGUCAAACAAAUAAUUAUUUGUACAUCGUUUUAGGAUAUGUCAUCUUAUUUUUUGCUCCUAUUUUUCUAUUUUUUUAAAAAAAAAUUAUCUUAUUUUUUGAAAACCUUACAAGUAUGAUGGUGUCCCGUCCACGAAGAAGAUUUCAUCGUGAAAGACCUCAUGGUGAGAGUAUGGCAGUAAAAAGACUUCAAAAUAUAUCCGCAUUGCCGUUGAGCUCUUUCUAUCACAUCGGUAAAAAUUGAUAUUGACAUUGAACAGGGUUUAAUCAUGGUGCACUGAUAAGUGGAGGAGGUGAGAGUGAGGAAGCCCUUGCUGAGGUGAUCCGAUCCCAAUGGUUUUCUACCUUGAGAGCUCCGCGGUGCAGCGGAUCACAUCGUGGGACACGAGCACACGCGGUUGGUUACCAAGGCUAGCGGAUCCAAAUGGUUUUAUCGUGACAAGUAAAAAGGGUCGGGUGGCGUGUAUGACAGCGAUGGCGUCCGACAGGAUGCCGCACAGCCUCGUGGACCAACCGAAAGAGGACGCGUGUCGGUAGGAGGCAGCCGUUCGUCGCCCAUGGCCGGGGAGGUCUCUGUCGUGUAGCGUGGGUGCACGUGGCAGGCCGUGGGGGCAUUCGGGCACGCUGUCCCGGUCAACGUCUCCGCGGUUGGUGCCGGGUCCCGCUCGCCCUUCGUCUUCUUCUCGGUGAUGUCGGCCCACGCGGCACUCCCCGUUUUCAAGAUCUGGAGGGACUCAUCAGGAAGUCUCAAAGGGGGAUCUCAAAGGGUCCUUGGCUUGUUUAAGACUAGAUUCUCAUGAUUUUUACAUGAACGAAAAUUGCAUCACUACAAAAAUCACUUGAGCCAAUCUUUUGAGAGUUGAACUUUUUUUUUUAUGGUAG